Cygnus olor (mute swan) is the source of this 667-nucleotide long non-coding RNA. RefSeq lists it as uncharacterized. The record is from RefSeq and is a predicted model, not a curated record. Lineage: Eukaryota; Metazoa; Chordata; Aves; Anseriformes; Anatidae. The transcript is spliced from 3 exons.
CUACCUGUCUUUUCAUCCCGUCAUGCUACCUUGAAUUUGUUUGGUACCAAGUCUUUAGAAAUUCCUGCCUUGAAUAUGUGCACUGGAUAUUAAAGAGAGGUUAUACCCGGGGCUCCACCAUGCCAUUAGUUAAACUUCUGCACUGGCCAGAAGUGGAGAAGGGGCAGCUGGGCGGUCAGGACCAGGCUGUCAGGUUCUUGGGAGAUGCGUUCAUGGAGAGGAAAAUCUUUGACACACUGCAUCCUGUGUUGUGUGGAUGCUUUAGUCAGCUGGAGAAGAUGAACCGAAAGGAGCCACUUACCUCAAUCAGAUCGGUUAACCGAGGGACAGAGGGUUCAUGUGAGAAACUGAUGUUUGCUGUGCAUGGUAUCCUGAAAGGAAGGAGAUGUGGUGGCAACUUUGUCCACAAAUCUUGAAGUCCCAGCACUUCAGUCUAGUGCAAUGCUUCAGACUUUGAAGAAAUACAGAGGAAAGGCAAGUGUCAGCAGUGGCCUGAAGAUGGGGAUGGAGAGAUCAUAAAAUGCUGGCAGAGGGAGCUACCAGGAAAUCCUGAAAAUGUACCCAGCCUGUACCUUGCUGCAUAUCGUUUUGUGUGUUCAAAAAAUAAAAUAAAAUAGAAAUAAUUUAAAAAGUAAAGUCCUGAUUUUAUCACCUGCAGUCUGGCUGA